UACGAAGGGGGCUAGCGUUGCUCGGAAUCACUGGGCGUAAAGCGCACGUAGGCGGCUUCUUAAGUCAGGGGUGAAAUCCCGGAGCUCAACUCCAGAACUGCCUUUGAUACUGAGGAGCUUGAGUCCGGGAGAGGUGAGUGGAACUGCGAGUGUAGAGGUGAAAUUCGUAGAUAUUCGCAAGAACACCAGUGGCGAAGGCGGCUCACUGGCCCGGUACUGACGCUGAGGUGCGAAAGCGUGGGGAGCAAACAGG
RNAcentral lists this ribosomal RNA (253 nucleotides) under uncultured bacterium. RNAcentral's name for it is "partial 16S ribosomal RNA". It matches the Rfam family "Bacterial small subunit ribosomal RNA", at positions 524 to 776 of the family's 1533-position model. The record is from RNAcentral.